CCACACACACACACUCGAAUGCAUACGAACCUGUUUAUAAAGUCGAGCACUUCGAAAGUUUUAACAUCGGAAAAGGUUCGACCGAAUUUCCAGAGUCAGUUCUUCACUACUUCGAAAGUUUGAACAUCGGCAAAGUUCAACAGAAUUUCCAGAGUCUAUCCUUCACUACUUCCAGACACCAUGGAUUUCUCGGCAGUGCAAGACCGAGUUAAGCGCAUCUGAUUCUAGUGUAUAGACAGCUUGGUGAUUAUUUCUGAUGAUGAGAUUCCCGAAACAACCACUCAUGACCUUUUGAAUCUGAGUUCCACACGUAAGUCAUAACAUAAAAUUAUGAAUGUUUUAUGCUGUAAAAGUCUUUCAUACGUGAAUAUAACAUUAUUUGUAUCAUAUUCAGAAUUUGAGGGAAACGUGACUAACAGUGAUUAUGACGGAGAUAUUUCAGAUACGAGUAAUGCAAUAGAAGACCAAGAGGAAAUUAUCUCGGAAACCGACAUUCAACAAGACAUCGAACUACAACAGAUUUGCGCAAUGUGGCGUGAAUUCUUCGAAGCAAAGACUGAUUUAUUGGAAAACUUUGGACAGAUUGAUUAUACACUUGAUUCUGGUCGAGGUACAGAUUUUAUCCCUUUACUGUACAGCACGCUUGAAAAUGUGAAUAGAUGUCUCACAGUGAGCAUAAAGUUGAUUAGAAAAUUGUAUGAUAGAUAUGGCGCAGAAGCGACUGAAAUGCAGUUCGGAUAUGGAGACUAAAAAAAAGAGAACCGAAAAUUCUCCAUUAUCACAUGAUUUCUUUUAUGACGGAAACCAGAGUUUUUCAAAUGAUUCGCACACACCCCUGAACCCAUGUUUAACUGAAGCGAUCAACCGGCUGAACGAAAGUUUAAUUCCGUCACACCAAGUCGUUAGUGAGAGACCUAAUCAUAGUCCAAAUCACGUCGUAUCAAACACAACGGUGACGCCGAAUGAUAUAUUUUCUGAAUUAAAUCAAUGUCUGUUAGAGUUACAUAAUAACCUAAAUGAACACGGUCAUUCAGUACAAAUAAACCCUGAUCUAAUCGAUGCAGUCAAUCAGUUGAAUGAAAAUUUAAGAUCGUCAGAACAGAGCAAUACUCAAAAUGAAAACCCCAGUCGAAAUUCCAUUCAAACUGUAUCAAGUACGCCGGUGACAUAUUUUUCGAAUUAAAUCAAUGUCUGUUAGAGCUACAAAAUAACCUAAUUGAACAAAGAGAAUCUAUGCAGAUAAAUCCAUGUUUAAUAGACGUGGUGAAUCAAAUCAAUGAAAAUAUGUCAUUAUCUCCCGUUCAGAAUAUCGUCUCGACUCCAGAAAACGCUCAGGAACCUAGACCGUUAUGUUCUCAUGAUAUGAUACACGAACUUAAUCAAAGUCUUAUGAGGAUAAAUGACGGUCUUGUUAACUUAAUCGAAAACCCUGACAAUAUUGCACAAAAUUCGGAAAACGAUAAUGAACGCAACCGCCCAAUGGAAAACAUACACUCACCUAAUACCCAAGAUUCUCAAAUGGAAAACAUACAUUCGCCCGAUACCCAAGAUUCUCAAAUGGAAAACUCGCCCGAUAUCCAAGUAGAGCAAGAGGGUGAUGGAUUAGAUCCUAAUAUUAGAAUAAUUAAUCGGGAAAGAUUCAACAACACUGAGAUUAGGAGAAGAGUGAAUUUUUCUU
Molecule: long non-coding RNA, 1678 nt
Organism: Ictalurus punctatus (channel catfish)
Lineage: Eukaryota; Metazoa; Chordata; Actinopteri; Siluriformes; Ictaluridae
Source: Ensembl